RNAcentral lists this ribosomal RNA (491 nucleotides) under uncultured bacterium. RNAcentral's name for it is "partial 16S ribosomal RNA". It matches the Rfam family "Bacterial small subunit ribosomal RNA", at positions 29 to 506 of the family's 1533-position model. The record is from RNAcentral.
AGUGAACGCUGGCGGUAGGCCUAACACAUGCAAGUCGAACGGCAGCACAGUAAGAGCUUGCUCUUACGGGUGGCGAGUGGCGGACGGGUGAGGAAUACAUCGGAAUCUACUUUUUCGUGGGGGAUAACGUAGGGAAACUUACGCUAAUACCGCAUACGACCUACGGGUGAAAGCAGGGGAUCUUCGGACCUUGCGCGAUUGAAUGAGCCGAUGUCGGAUUAGCUAGUUGGCGGGGUAAAGGCCCACCAAGGCGACGAUCCGUAGCUGGUCUGAGAGGAUGAUCAGCCACACUGGAACUGAGACACGGUCCAGACUCCUACGGGAGGCAGCAGUGGGGAAUAUUGGACAAUGGGCGCAAGCCUGAUCCAGCCAUACCGCGUGGGUGAAGAAGGCCUUCGGGUUGUAAAGCCCUUUUGUUGGGAAAGAAAAUCAGCAGGUUAAUACCCCGCUGUUCUGACGGUACCCAAAGAAUAAGCACCGGCUAACUUCGU